This 471-nucleotide long non-coding RNA is filed under the name Malus domestica (apple). RNAcentral describes it as "long non-coding RNA (MDOM_LNC007729)". The record is from RNAcentral. Lineage: Eukaryota; Viridiplantae; Streptophyta; Magnoliopsida; Rosales; Rosaceae.
AAAGGAAAUGGAGUGGUCCUCUCUCAAGCCUAUAAAUACCAUUUGCUAUAUUCAUCAACAACAACAGAUUUUUGAUCCCUACCUUAGCCGCACCUCUCCAUCACCAUUCUCUAAAAAUUCAGCCAAACACCACCCCUAGCCACACCAUCCACCAACCCUAAACCUUUCCAUACCAUUCCCCAUCCAUUCUACACCAUAAAAACCACCCAAAACCUGUCCAAAACCUCUUAUGCCGUGACUAUUGCAAGGAAGGAAGGAGAAGGAACAUCUUAUGCCGUGACUAUUGCAAGAAAGGAAGGAGAAGGAACAUCUUGUGCCGUGCCUAUGCCCAAGCCUUGGGAGUGUUGGAGCGUUUCUAGGUGUUUUCUAUCUUUGAUUUCAAUGUUUAAUUUAAGUUAUCUUUGUGUAAUUGCGAGCAUGAGGAAUUAAACCCCUCUUAGUUAGGGGGUGAUUCGAAACUAUGUUCAUGCU